Molecule: ribosomal RNA, 886 nt
Filed under: uncultured Lachnoclostridium sp.
Lineage: Bacteria; Bacillati; Bacillota; Clostridia; Lachnospirales; Lachnospiraceae
Description: bacterial SSU rRNA
Rfam family: Bacterial small subunit ribosomal RNA
Source: RNAcentral
GGGNGCUCUCCCNUAUGGUCGACCUGCAGGCGGCCGCGAAUUCACUAGUGAUUAGAGUUUGAUCCUGGCUCAGGAUGAACGCUGGCGGCGUGCCUAACACAUGCAAGUCGAACGAAGCAAUUAAAGGAAGUUUUCGGAUGGAAUUUGAUUGACUGAGUGGCGGACGGGUGAGUAACGCGUGGAUAACCUGCCUCACACUGGGGGAUAACAGUUAGAAAUGACUGCUAAUACCGCAUAAGCGCACAGUGCCGCAUGGUACGGUGUGAAAAACUCCGGUGGUGUGAGAUGGAUCCGCGUCUGAUUAGCCAGUUGGCGGGGUAACGGCCCACCAAAGCGACGAUCAGUAGCCGACCUGAGAGGGUGACCGGCCACAUUGGGACUGAGACACGGCCCAAACUCCUACGGGAGGCAGCAGUGGGGAAUAUUGCACAAUGGGCGAAAGCCUGAUGCAGCGACGCCGCGUGAGUGAAGAAGUAUUUCGGUAUGUAAAGCUCUAUCAGCAGGGAAGAAAAUGACGGUACCUGACUAAGAAGCCCCGGCUAACUACGUGCCAGCAGCCGCGGUAAUACGUAGGGGGCAAGCGUUAUCCGGAUUUACUGGGUGUAAAGGGAGCGUAGACGGCGAAGCAAGUCUGAAGUGAAAACCCAGGGCUCAACCCUGGGACUGCUUUGGAAACUGUUUUGCUAGAGUGUCGGAGAGGUAAGUGGAAUUCCUANUGUAGCGGUGAAAUGCGUAGAUAUUANGAGGAACACCAGUGGCGAAGGCGGCUUACUGGACGAUAACUGACGUUGAGGCUCGAAAGCGUGGGGAGCAAACAGGAUUAGAUACCCUGGUAGUCCACGCCGUAAANNNAUGAANGCUANGGUGUUGGGGGGGCAAAGCCNNU